Molecule: ribosomal RNA, 406 nt
Filed under: uncultured bacterium
Lineage: Bacteria
Description: partial 16S ribosomal RNA
Rfam family: Bacterial small subunit ribosomal RNA
Source: RNAcentral
AUUGAACGCUGGCGGCAGGCCUAACACAUGCAAGUCGAACGAGUGGCGGACGGGUGAGUAAUGUCUGGGAAACUGCCUGAUGGAGGGGGAUAACUACUGGAAACGGUAGCUAAUACCGCAUACCAUCGGCGGUGACCGGAUGGGAUUAGCUCGUAGGCGGGGUAAAAGAUCACCUAGGCGACGAUCCCUAGCUGGUCUGAGAGACUGACCAGCCACACUGGAACUGAGACACGGUCCAAACUCCUACGGGAGGCAGCAGUAGGGAAUCUUGCACAAUGGACGAAAGCCUGAUGCAGCCAUGCCGCGUGUAUGAAGAAGGUCUUCGGAUUGUAAAGUUCUUUCAGCGGGGAGGCGUUACUCGCAGAGGAAGCCACGGCUAACUCCGUGCCAGCAGCCGCGGUAAUUC